This 850-nucleotide ribosomal RNA is filed under the name uncultured bacterium. RNAcentral's name for it is "bacterial SSU rRNA". It matches the Rfam family "Bacterial small subunit ribosomal RNA", at positions 51 to 878 of the family's 1533-position model. The record is from RNAcentral.
CUACCUGCAGUCGACGCGAAAGGGUAGCAAUACCCGAGUAGAGUGGCGAACGGGUGAGUAAUGUGUGGGUAAUUUGCCUUUUAGAGGGGGAUAACCCGGCGAAAGCUGAGCUAAUACCCCAUAACAUCACAAUGUCUUCGGACGUUAUGAUCAAAUGAUGGCCUCUAUUUAUAAGCUAUCGCUAAAAGAUGAGCCCACAUCCUAUCACGCUUGUUGGUGGGGUAAUGGCCCACCAAGGCGACGACGGGUAGCCGGCCUGAGAGGGUGUCCGGCCACACUGGAACUGAGACACGGUCCAGACUCCUACGGGAGGCAGCAGUGGGGAAUUUUUCGCAAUGGGCGAAAGCCUGACGAAGCAACGCCGCGUGGAGGAUGACGGCCCUCGUGGUCUUAAACUCCUGUCUAGCGGGACGAAAGUAUUGGAGGUGAAUAAUCUCCGAUAUUGACUGUACCGCUGGAGGAAGCUCCGGCCAACUCCGUGCCAGCAGCCGCGGUAAUACGGAGGGAGCAAGCGUUACUCGGAAUUAUUGGGCGUAAAGGGCGCGUAGGCGAUCUGACAAGUCUGGUGUGAAAGCCCACAUGUUAACUGUGGAAGUGCAUUAGAAACUGUUGGAUUUGAGUUCAGGAGAGGAAGGCAGAAUUCCCGGUGUAGCGGCGAAAUGCGUAGAGAUCGGGAGGAAUACCAGUGGCGAAGGCGGCCUUCUGGACUGACACUGACGCUGAGGCGCGAAAGCCAGGGGAGCAAACGGGAUUAGAUACCCCGGUAGUCCUGGCUGUAAACGAUGUGCACUUGGUGUGAGCCGGUUUUCGGUUCGUGCCGAAGUUAACGCAAUAAGUGCACCGCCUGGGG